CCUACGGGAGGCAGCAGUGGGGAAUUUUGGACAAUGGGCGCAAGCCUGAUCCAGCAAUGCCGCGUGAGUGAAGAAGGCCUUCGGGUUGUAAAGCUCUUUUGUCAGGGAAGAAACGGUGUUUUCUAAUACAGAAUGCUAAUGACGGUACCUGAAGAAUAAGCACCGGCUAACUACGUGCCAGCAGCCGCGGUAAUACGUAGGGUGCAAGCGUUAAUCGGAAUUACUGGGCGUAAAGCGUGCGCAGGCGGUUUUGUAAGUCUGUCGUGAAAUCCCCGGGCUCAACCUGGGAAUGGCGAUGGAGACUGCAAGGCUAGAAUCUGGCAGAGGGGGGUAGAAUUCCACGUGUAGCAGUGAAAUGCGUAGAUAUGUGGAGGAACACCGAUGGCGAAGGCAGCCCCCUGGGCUAAGAUUGACGCUCAUGCACGAAAGCGUGGGGAGCAAACAGGAUUAGAUACCCUGGUAGUCCACGCCCUAAACGAUGUCUACUAGUUGUCGGGUCUUAAUUGACUUGGUAACGCAGCUAACGCGUGAAGUAGACCGCCUGGGGAUACGGUCGCAAGNUUAAAACUUAAAUGAAUUGACGG
Molecule: ribosomal RNA, 584 nt
Filed under: uncultured bacterium
Lineage: Bacteria
Description: bacterial SSU rRNA
Rfam family: Bacterial small subunit ribosomal RNA
Source: RNAcentral